This 412-nucleotide ribosomal RNA is filed under the name uncultured Pseudomonadota bacterium. RNAcentral describes it as "bacterial SSU rRNA". It matches the Rfam family "Bacterial small subunit ribosomal RNA", at positions 167 to 574 of the family's 1533-position model. Lineage: Bacteria; Pseudomonadati; Pseudomonadota. The record is from RNAcentral.
UACCGCAUAACGUCGCAAGACCAAAGAGGGGGACCUUCGGGCCUCUUGCCAUCGGAUGUGCCCAGAUGGGAUUAGCUUGUUGGUGGGGUAACGGCUCACCAAGGCGACGAUCCCUAGCUGGUCUGAGAGGAUGACCAGCCACACUGGAACUGAGACACGGUCCAGACUCCUACGGGAGGCAGCAGUGGGGAAUAUUGCACAAUGGGCGCAAGCCUGAUGCAGCCAUGCCGCGUGUAUGACGAAGGCCUUCGGGUUGUAAAGUACUUUCAGCGGGGAGGAAGGGAGUAAAGUUAAUACCUUUGCUCAUUGACGUUACCCGCAGAAGAAGCACCGGCUAACUCCGUGCCAGCAGCCGCGGUAAUACGGAGGGUGCAAGCGUUAAUCGGAAUUACUGGGCGUAAAGCGCACGCAG